AUUGAACGCUGGCGGCAUGCUUUACACAUGCAAGUCGAACGGCAGCGCGGGCUUCGGCCUGGCGGCGAGUGGCGAACGGGUGAGUAAUACAUCGGAACGUGCCCAGUAGUGGGGGAUAGCUCGGCGAAAGCCGGAUUAAUACCGCAUACGACCUGAGGGUGAAAGCGGGGGAUCUUCGGACCUCGCGCUAUUGGAGCGGCCGAUGGCAGAUUAGCUAGUUGGUGGGGUAAAGGCCUACCAAGGCGACGAUCUGUUGCUGGUCUGAGAGGACGACCAGCCACACUGGGACUGAGACACGGCCCAGACUCCUACGGGAGGCAGCAGUGGGGAAUUUUGGACAAUGGGCGAAAGCCUGAUCCAGCAAUGCCGCGUGUGUGAUGAAGGCCUUCGGGUUGUAAAGCACUUUUGGCGGGAACGAAAAGGACUGUGCAAAUACCACGGUUCGAUGACGGUACCCGCAGAAUAAGCACCGGCUAACUACGUG
RNAcentral lists this ribosomal RNA (484 nucleotides) under uncultured bacterium. RNAcentral describes it as "partial 16S ribosomal RNA". It matches the Rfam family "Bacterial small subunit ribosomal RNA", at positions 29 to 507 of the family's 1533-position model. The record is from RNAcentral.